AGCAGCCAGAGAGGCAGGAGCUCCUGAGGCUAACAGCAAGUACUGCUCGAGCGAAGAUAACUGAGGAAGCAAAAUCCAAUGAUAAAGUAAAGGUGUUCCUGAUGUCCAAAAAGGAAAGGAAAAAAGAACGAUCAUGGUAAUUACUGUGCUAUGGCUUGAUCCUAGACUGCAUCUGCAACCAGCACAACUUGGAAGAUGUGAAUGCAUAGGCAGCAGUUCCAUUUCUAGUUGGGUUGGAGGUCUGAUGCCGCAGACCAGCAGAGGAUGGUCCCCCAGAGCCAUGUUUCUCAACCUUUUAAGUAGCAAGUACCCUCUAACUUCUGAAAAUUUUAAUAAGUACCCCAACACACAAUUUUCCAGGGGAUUUUAUACUUGCAGACUAAUGUGUGCCAUAUGUUGGAAGAAGGGUUGUGUAUAUAAGACUGUGCUAUGACAGAUGUCUGCUCUGGUGUGGGUAGGGUUGCCAUCUUUUACACCAGGGUGCACAACUCAUGUAUGUACCUGGGCUAGAGCUGAUGUUGGCCAAAGGCAGAAGGGCUGAACCCAGUGCCACACAAAGGGUGACACGCCAAAUUAUUACUGGGGAAUUUAAAGCACUGCGCAAUGCACGGUGCACCAAAUUUUUUGCCAUGGUUUUGAGAGGAAAAGAGGGCAGGAGAGAGAGGAAAAGAGGUGAGAGAAAGUGUUGGGGUACCUGUAUACCACCUACCUGUCUCACGUACCCCCAGGGGUACGCAUACCACAGGUUGAGAAACUAUGCCCCAGAGGACAGCUGAACAGAAUGAAGACUCUGGAAGAGCCUCCAGAAAGAUGUCCCUCUCCAGAGCUCUGCCUCUUUGUAUACAUGGAGCCCAUGCAAUGAAAGGCAGAACCAGAGGGACUGAAAAUGUAGUGAUUCAUGUUCACCCUGGUAAUCUUCAGGUAUGACAGUUCCUGCUCAGUGGGAAGCCAGUGAAAACAAAUAUAGAUAAGUUAAAAAGAAACGUACCUAUUUAGCCACUGUCAAUCUUUUUUCUUGUUAAUUCUCUUUUGUGCAUAGUUUGUUUGAUCGUUUCCACUAUCACAUAUGGCCAACUGGAAUCCACUGGCAACAAACCCCUCUGCUGAAUUGUCAUUUAUAUUGAACAACGCUUAUGCUGUUGAGAACUUCAAAAUGAACUGUUGCUACCACAGCUGUAAAACUGUGGGGUCCUAAGAAGUGGCAAUAGGCAAUGGACCAAAUUCUGCCCAUGAGCAGCACCAUCAGAUCUCUUGGGCUCAACAUUAAUAAGGUUAACUUCCAUGAAAUCACUGGAGCUAAAGGGGGGAUGAAUUUGGCUCAUUUGAAUACAGCUAUGUCAGUUGUUUUGGAAUAAUUAUUUCUACAUAAUCCUUGGGCAGUUACUAAUAAUUUGGAAAGAAAGGUAAGAGACAAAUGGCCCUGGUGGGCUGAGGCACUAGUCUCAUUUGCCUAAUGGUGGUAUAUGGACAACAAAACAAGUGAGGAUUAUACAGCCAUCAUUCACUUACUCCCUUGAAUUUAAAGCAUGAAGGUCAGGAAGAAAAGGAGGACAAUGGGAUGUGCAACUUAUUGGUUAAAAACUCCUGCCAGCCAAUGGAGAAGAGUACAGGUAAUAAACCAAAACGUUCUGGCUGCAAUUACAAAAAUCAAUCAGGAAAUUCAAAUGGCUCCAGAUACACAUCGGCUCCAAUAUUCCACAAGGGAAAGAACGACUUGAUGAUUCAUGAGUGCUUCUAAGUUUUAUUACCAACAGAGACAUAUUAUUGAGCUAUCCAAACACAUUUCAGGUAUAGAUAUGAACACAGGCAUUGCAAACAUAUGCAAGCUUCUGCACUGUGCCUCUGCAGUUAUAUACAGUUGCUGCCUUCUGAACUAAUAACAACCCAAGCCCAGACUAAGUGUCUUUUUGUCUUGGUUAUAUUAUGCCUCUAGCCCUAUAGGGGUCCAGUUAAUUUACAUAUAAUUCCACUAGGGUUGAUAACACUUGCCAUUUUAAGAACUUUUUUAACAAUGUAGAACUUUGCCAGAGUUUAAGCAUUCAGGCUGUAACGUCCUGUGCCUCUAACAGAAUUAUUUUGGAACAUUUUAGUCAGAUGGUUCAGCUGUUUCCAAAACUAAAACUAAGAAACCUGCAUUGUUCUGCAGUGUCCUGGGACCUUUGCUUCAUGAAGCACAGGCUUCUGAGCAAGGACACAAAAUCUGGAAAUGUGAUCUUGGUGGUCUUUUGCUGUUCCUGGGAACACCUAUUCAAAUUGGGCCAAGAUAAAAACUACAGUUUACACAUAAUCAGUGGAGACUCAUUAGAGAUUCACAGCUAAAAUCUCCAAAUACCUUGUGUGCUUUGAGCAUACUCCAGCCACUUGGAGAUCCUAGAUGGGGCUGGAUUAUAUUAAAUAAACCUUGACUGAAAGGUCAC
Molecule: long non-coding RNA, 2417 nt
Organism: Alligator mississippiensis (American alligator)
Lineage: Eukaryota; Metazoa; Chordata; Crocodylia; Alligatoridae
Exons: 3
Source: RefSeq, a predicted model, not a curated record